This 447-nucleotide ribosomal RNA is filed under the name uncultured bacterium. Its description in RNAcentral is "bacterial SSU rRNA". It matches the Rfam family "Bacterial small subunit ribosomal RNA", at positions 355 to 825 of the family's 1533-position model. The record is from RNAcentral.
UGGGGAAUAUUGGACAAUGGGCGAAAGCCUGAUCCAGCAAUGCCGCGUGAGUGAUGAAGGCCUUAGGGUUGUAAAGCUCUUUUACCAGGGAUGAUAAUGACAGUACCUGGAGAAUAAGCUCCGGCUAACUCCGUGCCAGCAGCCGCGGUAAUACGGAGGGAGCUAGCGUUGUUCGGAAUUACUGGGCGUAAAGCGUACGUAGGCGGUUAUUCAAGUCAGAGGUGAAAGCCCGGGGCUCAACCCCGGAACGGCCUUUGAAACUAGAUAGCUAGAAUCUUGGAGAGGUCAGUGGAAUUCCGAGUGUAGAGGUGAAAUUCGUAGAUAUUCGGAAGAACACCAGUGGCGAAGGCGACUGACUGGACAAGUAUUGACGCUGAGGUACGAAAGCGUGGGGAGCAAACAGGAUUAGAUACCCAAGUAGUCCCUGAGCGGGCUGGCAAGGCGCAU